Molecule: long non-coding RNA, 384 nt
Organism: Cynara cardunculus var. scolymus (artichoke)
Lineage: Eukaryota; Viridiplantae; Streptophyta; Magnoliopsida; Asterales; Asteraceae
Exons: 2
Source: RefSeq, a predicted model, not a curated record
CGCUCAUCAAUCGGUUUCGAGUCUCAAAGGUUAAACCGCACACAGCUUGACCGGUAUACUUGAGCGGUUUACAUGGAAGCCUUGACCGGAUAAGUGACAGCGCACGAAAAGGUACAUCAAAGUACACUUUGGAAGGUUUAAGGCAUAGCAAGCUUUUAUUAGAUACACAGCCCAGGUGGGACAAAGUGUACUUGCAUAGAAGACUCCGAUAGUCUGAACUGAAGUUAGAGGGAAGCUAAAAGUUGAAGAUAGAAGAGUGAAGUGAAAUUGUGUGUCUGAGAUCAAGUCUAAACAUACUCUGAAGAGAGUUCAUAUCAGUGAAGAUACAUUGUAGCUAUAUUUUAGACUGGUGUUGAUAAUUGUACAUUGUAUUGUAUUUGGGCU